AUGUGGCACCCCUACAAACAUGACAAGUUAUAUGAACAGUUUCAGACUUGGAAGAAAACAGAGCAUGGCAGGAACAGAUUCAUGAUAGCUAUUUUGCAAGCUCAAAACACUCGUCACAAAGCAUUACAUGGCAUCAAAAGGUAA
Molecule: ribosomal RNA, 144 nt
Filed under: Triticum aestivum (bread wheat)
Lineage: Eukaryota; Viridiplantae; Streptophyta; Magnoliopsida; Poales; Poaceae
Description: partial small subunit ribosomal RNA
Source: RNAcentral